UUGACAAAAAUAAGGGUUUGGAAAAUAACAUAUGUACAUACUAACCCCUCCGUAAAAAUAGUUAGAAAACUCAAUUACAUACACGUACUAUACUCGUACUGAAAACAGGCAUGCAUAAUUAUAUUUACAUAGUAAUUCACACAUUUACAAAAUUCCCACAUUAGUUCAAACUUUGAAAAUAAAGAUUUCCCCACCACCUAGGUGUACCCUUAUUAUAUACGUCAAUU
This 227-nucleotide long non-coding RNA is filed under the name Prunus persica (peach). RNAcentral describes it as "long non-coding RNA (PPER_LNC004735)". The record is from RNAcentral. Lineage: Eukaryota; Viridiplantae; Streptophyta; Magnoliopsida; Rosales; Rosaceae.